UGAGGAAUAUUGGACAAUGGAUGGAAAUCUGAUCCAGCCAUGCCGCGUGCAGGAAGACGGCCCUAUGGGUUGUAAACUGCUUUUAUACGGGAGCAAUAAGGUCUACGAGUAGGCCGAUGAGAGUACCGUAUGAAUAAGCACCGGCUAACUCCGUGCCAGCAGCCGCGGUAAUACGGAGGGUGCGAGCGUUAUCCGGAUUUAUUGGGUUUAAAGGGUGCGUAGGCGGUUUGUUAAGUCAGCGGUGAAAGUUUUCAGCUUAACUGGAAAAAUGCCGUUGAUACUGAGAGGCUGGAAUAUGGUUGCUGUGGGUGGAAUGUGUGGUGUAGCGGUGAAAUGCUUAGAUAUCACACAGAAUAUCGAUUGCGAAGGCAGCUCACAAAGCCAUUAUUGACGCUGAUGCACGAAAGUGUGGGGAUCAAACA
Molecule: ribosomal RNA, 422 nt
Filed under: uncultured prokaryote
Description: bacterial SSU rRNA
Rfam family: Bacterial small subunit ribosomal RNA
Source: RNAcentral